This 464-nucleotide ribosomal RNA is filed under the name uncultured bacterium. RNAcentral's name for it is "partial 16S ribosomal RNA". It matches the Rfam family "Bacterial small subunit ribosomal RNA", at positions 338 to 795 of the family's 1533-position model. The record is from RNAcentral.
CCUACGGGAGGCAGCAGUGGGGAAUAUUGCGCAAUGGGCGAAAGCCUGACGCAGCGACGCCGCGUGAGGGAUGAAGGUCUUCGGAUCGUAAACUUCUGUCAGCAGGGAAGAACGGUCUCUGUGCUAAUCAGCAGUGAAUUGACGGUACCUGCAAAGGAAGCACCGGCUAACUCCGUGCCAGCAGCCGCGGUAAUACGUAGGGUGCGAGCGUUGUCCGGAAUUACUGGGUGAAAAGGGAGCGUAGGCGGGACUGCAAGUUGGGUGUAAAAUCUACGGGCUCAACCGGUAGCCGCACUCAAAACUGCAGUGCUUGAGUGAAGUAGAGGCAGGCGGAAUUCCUAGUGUAGCGGUGAAAUGCGUAGAUAUUAGGAGGAACACCAGUGGCGAAGGCGGCCUGCUGGGCAGUGACUGACGCUGAGGCUCGAAAGUGUGGGGAGCAAACAGGAUUAGAUACCCGGGUAGUC